This 238-nucleotide ribosomal RNA is filed under the name uncultured bacterium. RNAcentral's name for it is "partial 16S ribosomal RNA". It matches the Rfam family "Bacterial small subunit ribosomal RNA", at positions 15 to 236 of the family's 1533-position model. The record is from RNAcentral.
GAUCAUGGCUCAGGAUGAACGCUGGCGGCGUGCCUAACACAUGCAAGUCGAGCGGGAAAUCCGUGACGGAUCCUUCGGGUGACGGAUCGGAUGGAGAGCGGCGGACGGGUGAGUAACGCGUAGGUAACCUGCCCUGUACAGAGGGAUAGCCACUGGAAACGGUGAUUAAUACCUCAUAAUGCCGGAUCUGCACAUGCAGGACCGGUCAAAGUUUUUUCGGUACAGGAUGGACCUGCGU